This 252-nucleotide ribosomal RNA is filed under the name uncultured Bacteroidales bacterium. RNAcentral describes it as "partial 16S ribosomal RNA". It matches the Rfam family "Bacterial small subunit ribosomal RNA", at positions 524 to 776 of the family's 1533-position model. The record is from RNAcentral. Lineage: Bacteria; Pseudomonadati; Bacteroidota; Bacteroidia; Bacteroidales.
UACGGAGGAUGCGAGCGUUAUCCGGAUUUAUUGGGUUUAAAGGGUGCGUAGGCGGGCCUUCAGGCCGGCGGUAAAAUUGCGGGGCUCAACCCUGUCGAGCCGUCGGAACUGGCAGUCUUGAGUGGGCGAGAAGUAUGCGGAAUGCGUGGUGUAGCGGUGAAAUGCAUAGAUAUCACGCAGAACGCCGAUUGCGAAGGCAGCAUACCGGCGCCCAACUGACGCUGAGGCACGAAAGCGUGGGGAUCGAACAGG